GUGUCAGCAGCCGCGGUAAUACGUAGGGGGCAAGCGUUGUCCGGAAUCAUUGGGCGUAAAGAGCGUGUAGGCGGCCCGAUAAGUCCGCUGUGAAAGUCCAGGGCUCAACCCUGGAAUGCCGGUGGAUACUGUCGGGCUCGAAUCCGGAAGAGGUGAGUGGAAUUCCUGGUGUAGCGGUGAAAUGCGCAGAUAUCAGGAGGAACACCAAUGGCGAAGGCAGCUCACUGGGACGGUAUUGACGCUGAGACGCGAAAGCGUGGGGAGCAAACAGGAUUAGAAACCCUUGUAGUCC
RNAcentral lists this ribosomal RNA (292 nucleotides) under uncultured bacterium. RNAcentral's name for it is "partial 16S ribosomal RNA". It matches the Rfam family "Bacterial small subunit ribosomal RNA", at positions 505 to 796 of the family's 1533-position model. The record is from RNAcentral.